UUUUUUCUUUUUCUGUUGAAUUUCUCAGCUGGUACUGAGGGUCAAACACUGACUGAGUCUGAAUCAGUGGUUAAAAGGCCUGGAGACUCCCACAGACUGACCUGUACAUACUCAGGGUUCAGCAGUGAUAUUGAUGCAGCUUGGAUCAGACAGGCUGCUGGGAAAGGACUGGAGUGGGUUGCUUAUAUUGAGGAUGAUAGUAGCAACAUCUACUAUUCUCAGUCAGUCAGAGGCCGCUUUACCAUCUCCAGAGACAACAGCAGAAAGCAGGUGUAUCUGCAGAUGAGCAGCUUGACGACUGAAGAUUCAGCUGUUUAUUAUUGUGCUCGA
Long non-coding RNA from Pundamilia nyererei, 330 nucleotides. RefSeq lists it as uncharacterized. Lineage: Eukaryota; Metazoa; Chordata; Actinopteri; Cichliformes; Cichlidae. The transcript has 2 exons. The record is from RefSeq and is a predicted model, not a curated record.